This 210-nucleotide long non-coding RNA is filed under the name Musa acuminata (dwarf banana). Its description in RNAcentral is "long non-coding RNA (MACU_LNC011331)". The record is from RNAcentral. Lineage: Eukaryota; Viridiplantae; Streptophyta; Magnoliopsida; Zingiberales; Musaceae.
AUAAAUCUAAUAUCUUGAUGAUAGAGAUACACAUAGGAAAACAUUUGGGUGUUCUUAAAUUUCUCUUAGUAGAUUUAACUAAUAAAAAUAAUUUUUAUACUGAUAUUUUCAACAUAGCAUCAUGUAACAACAUAAGAUAGGAUAAAAAUGGUUGCAUCCUCUUCCUCUCAUCGGACUUGCAAAGACUUUGCAGGUCCAAGUCGUUGCAGC